AUUGAACGCUGGCGGCAGGCUUAACACAUGCAAGUCGAGCGGGGGAAGGUAGCUUGCUACCGGACCUAGCGGCGGACGGGUGAGUAAUGCUUAGGAAUCUACCUAUUAGUGGGGGACAACAUCUCGAAAGGGAUGCUAAUACCGCAUACGUCCUACGGGAGAAAGCAGGGGAUCUUCGGACCUUGCGCUAAUAGAUGAGCCUAAGUCGGAUUAGCUAGUUGGUGGGGUAAAGGCCUACCAAGGCGACGAUCUGUAGCGGGUCGGAGAGGAUGGACCGCCACACUGGGACUGAGACACGGCCCAGACUCCUACGGGAGGCAGCAGUGGGGAAUAUUGGACAAUGGGGGGAACCCUGAUCCAGCCAUGCCGCGUGUGUGAAGAAGGCCUUAUGGUUGUAAAGCACUUUAAGCGAGGAGGAGGCUACUCUAGUUAAUACCUAGGGAUAGUGGACGUUACUCGCAGAAUAAGCACCGGCUAACUCUGUGCCAGCCGCCGCAGUAA
This 501-nucleotide ribosomal RNA is filed under the name uncultured bacterium. RNAcentral describes it as "partial 16S ribosomal RNA". It matches the Rfam family "Bacterial small subunit ribosomal RNA", at positions 30 to 523 of the family's 1533-position model. The record is from RNAcentral.